This 2093-nucleotide long non-coding RNA is filed under the name Nicotiana tabacum (common tobacco). Its description in RNAcentral is "long non-coding RNA (NTAB_LNC017381)". Lineage: Eukaryota; Viridiplantae; Streptophyta; Magnoliopsida; Solanales; Solanaceae. The record is from RNAcentral.
UCCAACUGACUAGUCCAAGAAUCCUAAUAUCCAUAAAUAAAAUCAAAGAUAGAAAAAGAACAGGGUGUGAGGAUAAUAAUGUUGAUAACAGUCAGAGAAGUUGCUACUUCUUCUUCUUCUUCUCUGCUCUUCAAUUCUCUCAUUUCUACUAAUAAUAAUAAUUCCAAGCAGCUACACUCUCUAAAGGUAAAUAGGUCCACUCCAAUUUGUAAAGCCAGCAGCCUCAGUUUUAAUAGAAAAAACACUAAUACCACUGCCCCAACAUGGAAUCUUGGCCUUCUUCACUCCACAAAUAGGUACAAAUUCUUGAAAUUAAAAUAUACCUUUUUGUUCUUUUUGCUCUUAUAUGCUUUGAAUUUUACUCAAUUUUGAUAAAUAUGUCAAUUUGAUUAAAUAUGUUUUGAAGAUAAAGAUUGGAACUUUCUCACUGUUUGUUGUAAUGGGUCUUGUUUAAAACUUCUAAUUUAUUGAAAAGAUAUGUUGUGAAGAUAAAGAAUUGAACUUUCUCAUUGUUUAUUGUAACGGGUACCUUUGCUGGUGGGAGGUAUAUCAAUAGAAUUAAUGUAGUUUCGUGUAAGCAACUGUUAUAGAAAAAGACUUUUAAUUGUUUACUUACUUUAUCUGGGGUUAUAGUAUUUACUUUCAUUUAAUUCAUUUGUUUUUUGGAAAAAAGUCUUGAACUUUCCGAUUGUUUAUUGUGAUAAUUCCUGUUUCGAGCUUCUAAUUUCGUCAAAUUUAAGACUUCUGUGUUGCUUUUUCUUUCUGGGAUUGUAAUAUCUACUUUCAUGUUGAGUUUGAAAUACUGUCUUGGAUUAGUUUUUCCUGAAAAAUUCUCAAAACUAGUUCUGGACAAUUGUGAAAUGGUGCUAUUGCUAGGAUGGAGCUUUUAAGGCUUUUUGCAGUUGUUAGUUCACAGAUAUGUAUAGUGUAGUCUUGUCCCAUAUUGGAAGAGGAGUGAUAUCUCCUUGUAGUGUAUAGCUAUAAAUAGGGACCUCUUGUAUUGUAUUUAUCAUCUAAUAUCAAUAACAUAUUUUCUCCCGUGCCUUCUCACAUGGUAUCAGAGCAUUAGUGAGAAACUCGUCGCUGUGCAUCAUUCCAGCGACAUCCGGGAAGAAAGACCUCUUCGCCGUGCAAUUUUCCGGCGACUUAGAAGGUUGUCCGUAAGCAAAUCACUUUCUGUUUGUGUUGUGCAAAAACAAACACCACCACAAGACUCCUCAGGCUCCGGCGACCAAACCCCAGUCAACCCCACCGGAAAACACACGUCCACGCGCCCUCACGCGCCUGGAAAAGAAAAGAAAAAUUCCGGCGAGAUCGGACCCACGCGCCGGCGCGUGAGCACUGUUCUGGCCAGAUUUUGAAAAAGUUUCAGUUGAACAGUAGGAUCGCCUGUUAAUUCCGAUCCUACCCUCACUGGUUUUGUUUCAUUCCGACCACUUUGAGUUUUUUCGUCAGUUACAGUAGAUUCCGGCGUGAACAGUGUUUCCGGCACAGAAACGGUGUUCUGCUUUCCUGCUGUAAACAGUGUUUUUCAAGCUAUUUCUUCAGUUUUCUCACCGGAUUUACUUAUUUCCACUAUUUCAAGUUAACCCUACUACUACAUCUCGUAGCGACAUGGGAACCGAUGCUUUGAAUAGUCGGAUGGUUUCUUUAGCAGAUUAUAUUGAGUUUAUUCAGUACAAAGCAUGUAAGCAGACAUCUUCUGAGAUAACUUCUAUUGUUCAAACAGGUAAUAACGUGACUUGUUUCUCCCAAUCUUCAUCCUCUGAGUCUUGGGUCAUUGAUUCAGGUGCAUCAGAUCAUAUUUGUGGUAACAAAUCUCUUUUCACUACUAUUUUGUAUUCUCAAUCUCUUCCAAAAGUCACAAUGGCCAAUGGGUCUCAAACCAUGACAACUGCAAUAGGUCAAGCAAGCCCACUUCCUUCCUUACCUUUGGAUUCAUUCCUUUAUGUUUCCAAUAGUCAUUUUAAUCUCAUAGCUGUUAGUCGUUCAGCCAAAUCACUUAUAUGCGAUGUUUUUAUACAGGAACGUAGUACAGGGCGGAUCAUUGGUACCGGGCGUGAAUCAAACGGACUUUAUUACCUUAUCCUUGC